GAUGAAGAACGCAGCGAAAUGCGAUAAGUAAUGUGAAUUGCAGAAUUCAGUGAAUCAUCGAAUCUUUGAACGCACAUUGCGCCCGCCAGUACUCUGGCGGGCAUGCCUGUUCGAGCGUCAUUUCAACCAUCAAGCCCCCGGCUUGUGUUGGGGACCCUGCGGCUGCCCGCAGGCCCUGAAAACCAGUGGCGGGCUCGCUGUCACUCCGAGCGUAGUAGCAUAUAUCUCGCUCAGGGCGUGCUGCGGGUUCCGGCCGUUAAAAGCCUUUUUUUUACCCAAGGUUGACCUCGGAUCAGGUAGGAAGACCCGCUGAACUUAAGCAUAUCAAUAAGCGGAGGA
Molecule: unclassified non-coding RNA, 339 nt
Filed under: soil metagenome
Description: partial contains 5.8S ribosomal RNA, internal transcribed spacer 2, and large subunit ribosomal RNA
Rfam family: 5.8S ribosomal RNA (bases 1-120)
Source: RNAcentral